ACAGAAAGAAAACCGCAGCAUGCUAUGGUUUGCUCUCAGGUAUGGGAACACAAGCAAACGGAACGCAUUUUGGAGCAUUCCGUUCUGUUCAGUUACAUUUUGUCCCCAUUGACAAUGAAUGGGGACAAAACGGAAUUUAGCCCUCCUCUU
Molecule: long non-coding RNA, 150 nt
Organism: Bufo bufo (common toad)
Lineage: Eukaryota; Metazoa; Chordata; Amphibia; Anura; Bufonidae
Exons: 3
Source: RefSeq, a predicted model, not a curated record